Long non-coding RNA from Ornithodoros turicata, 285 nucleotides. RefSeq lists it as uncharacterized. NCBI's taxonomy places the organism in Eukaryota, Metazoa, Arthropoda, Arachnida, Ixodida, Argasidae. The transcript has 3 exons. The record is from RefSeq and is a predicted model, not a curated record.
GUUCGCACGCUUUUUUCUGGCUCCCGUUGUCUCGCGUUCCGUCGUUGCUCUGGUGCCCUGGACUGCUGUGAAUGUGUUUUUAUGCCCUACUAGUGUUGCCUGGGGGUGCUUUUAUGUGUGCACCCUGGAAGAUAGGUCCAGAAGCCUUGCGAUUUCUUAGAUUAAAGCUAAGUGUACUCGUGACCCUACCAGCACUUUUCAAGAUACUUUCGACGUAUUCAUUGCGGUGAACAACGCGGUUGGGACAGCACACUCACGACGUGGGAAGGUCACAGAAAUGUUGAA